GACGAACGCUGGCGGCGUGCCUAAUACAUGCAAGUCGAGCGGACUGAAUGGGAGCUUGCUCUUGUUCGGUCAGCGGCGGACGGGUGAGUAACACGUGGGCAACCUGCCCGCAAGACCGGGAUAACUCCGGGAAACCGGAGCUAAUACCGGAUAACACCGAAGACCGCAUGGUCUUUGGUUGAAAGGCGGCGCAAGCUGCCACUUGCGGAUGGGCCCGCGGCGCAUUAGCUAGUUGGUGAGGUAACGGCUCACCAAGGCGACGAUGCGUAGCCGGCCUGAGGGGGUGAACGGCCACACUGGGACUGAGACAAGGCCCAGACUCCUACGGGAGGCAGCAGUAGGGAAUCUUCCGCAAUGGGCGAAAGCCUGACGGGGCGACGCCGCGUGAGCGAAGAAGGCCUUCGGGUCGUAAAGCUCUGUUGUGAGGGACGAAGGAGCGCCGUUUGAAGAAGGCGGCGCGGUGACGGUACCUCACGAGGAAGCCCCGGCUAACUACGUG
Molecule: ribosomal RNA, 499 nt
Filed under: uncultured bacterium
Lineage: Bacteria
Description: partial 16S ribosomal RNA
Rfam family: Bacterial small subunit ribosomal RNA
Source: RNAcentral